AUUGAACGCUGGCGGCAGGCUUAACACAUGCAAGUCGAGCGGGGUGAUGGUGCUUGCACUAUCACUUAGCGGCGGACGGGUGAGUAAUGCUUAGGAAGCUGCCUAUUAGUGGGGGACAACAUCUCGAAAGGGAUGCUAAUACCGCAUACGUCCUACGGGGGAAAGCAGGGGAUCACUUGUGACCUUGCGCUAAUAGAUGAGCCUAAGUCGGACUAGCUAGUUGGUGGGGUAAAGGCCUACCAAGGCGACGAUCUGUAGCGGGUCUGAGAGGAUGAUCCGCCACACUGGGACUGAGACACGGCCCAGACUCCUACGGGAGGCAGCAGUGGGGAAUAUUGGACAAUGGGGGGAACCCUGAUCCAGCCAUGCCGCGUGUGUGAAGAAGGCCUUAUGGUUGUAAAGCACUUUAAGCGAGGAGGAGGCUCUUUUGGUUAAUACCCAGAAUGAGUGGACGUUACUCGCAGAAUAAGCACCGGCUAACUCUGUGCCAGCCGCCGCCGUAA
This 503-nucleotide ribosomal RNA is filed under the name uncultured bacterium. Its description in RNAcentral is "partial 16S ribosomal RNA". It matches the Rfam family "Bacterial small subunit ribosomal RNA", at positions 30 to 523 of the family's 1533-position model. The record is from RNAcentral.